This 254-nucleotide ribosomal RNA is filed under the name uncultured bacterium. RNAcentral's name for it is "partial 16S ribosomal RNA". It matches the Rfam family "Bacterial small subunit ribosomal RNA", at positions 524 to 776 of the family's 1533-position model. The record is from RNAcentral.
UACGGAGGAUGCAGGCGUUAUCCGGAAUGAUUGGGCGUAAAGCGUCCGCAGGUGGCAAUGCAAGUCUGCUGUUAAAGCGCAGGGCUUAACCCUGUAAAGGCAGUGGAAACUGAAUAGCUAGAGUAUGGUAGGGGUAGAGGGAAUUCCCAGUGUAGCGGUGAAAUGCGUAGAUAUUGGGAAGAACAUCGGUGGCGAAGGCGCUCUACUGGACCAUAACUGACACUCACAGGACGAAAGCUAGGGGAGCGAAUGGG